Molecule: ribosomal RNA, 497 nt
Filed under: uncultured bacterium
Lineage: Bacteria
Description: partial 16S ribosomal RNA
Rfam family: Bacterial small subunit ribosomal RNA
Source: RNAcentral
GAUGAACGCUGGCGGCGUGCCUAAUACAUGCAAGUCGAGCGAACAGACGAGGAGCUUGCUCCUCUGACGUUAGCGGCGGACGGGUGAGUAACACGUGGAUAACCUACCUAUAAGACUGGGAUAACUUCGGGAAACCGGAGCUAAUACCGGAUAAUAUAUUGAACCGCAUGGUUCAAUAGUGAAAGACGGUUUUGCUGUCACUUAUAGAUGGAUCCGCGCCGCAUUAGCUAGUUGGUAAGGUAACGGCUUACCAAGGCAACGAUGCGUAGCCGACCUGAGAGGGGGAUCGGCCACCCGGGAGCGGGAACACGGUCAAGGGUCCUACGGGAGGCAGCAGAAGGGAAUCUUCCGCAAUGGGGGAAAGCCUGACGGAGCAACGCCGCGUGAGUGAUGAAGGUCUUCGGAUCGUAAAACUCUGUUAUUAGGGAAGAACAAAUGUGUAAGUAACUAUGCACGUCUUGACGGUACCUAAUCAGAAAGCCACGGCUAACUACGUG